GAUGAACGCUAGCGAUAGGCCUAACACAUGCAAGUCGAGGGGCAGCACAUGAAGUAGCAAUACAGAUGGUGGCGACCGGCGCACGGGUGAGUAACACGUAUGCAACCUACCUUCCACAGGAGAAUAACCCGUUGAAAAACGGACUAAUACUCCAUAAUACAGGGGUCCCGCAUGGGAAUAUUUGUUAAAGAUUUUUUUUCGGUAGAAGAUGGGCAUGCGUUCCAUUAGCUAGUUGGUUGAGGUAACGGCUCACCAAGGCAACGAUGGAUAGGGGAACUGAGAGGUUUAUCCCCCACACUGGUACUGAGACACGGACCAGACUCCUACGGGAGGCAGCAGUGAGGAAUAUUGGUCAAUGGAGGCAACUCUGAACCAGCCACGUCGCGUGAAGGAUGACGGCCCUACGGGUUGUAAACUUCUUUUAUACAGGAAUAAAGUGAGUCACGUGUGACUUUUUGCAUGUACUGUAUGAAUAAGGAUCGGCUAACUCCGUG
Molecule: ribosomal RNA, 494 nt
Filed under: uncultured bacterium
Lineage: Bacteria
Description: bacterial SSU rRNA
Rfam family: Bacterial small subunit ribosomal RNA
Source: RNAcentral